RNAcentral lists this long non-coding RNA (3155 nucleotides) under Paramuricea clavata. Lineage: Eukaryota; Metazoa; Cnidaria; Anthozoa; Malacalcyonacea; Plexauridae. The record is from RNAcentral.
AUUCAUCACAAAUACAGGUAAACCAAUUAUUUUCCAUCUCUAGUCAAUUAUAAUGCUAAAAACAUCGCAAUUUUGGUCUGCUCUGGUCAAAAAUAUUUGAUUAGGCCAGUGGCGUAGCCAGAACGAUAAUUGGGAGGGAUGGGGGGAUAUUCAUGCCAUUGGCAUUGUUGCUUGCACUGAUCUUACAUCAGGCGCUUACGAGAGGUCCACGUAUCAAAUAGAAACUGAAAUAGAAACUGAAAUAUAAAAUCAAAUCAAACUUGCCAUUGUGCAAUUAAACAAAACCAACCUUGCCAUAUUUGUGUAGCUAUAAAACAACCUUGACUGUUGAACUUGAACAAAACAACCUUGACUGUUGAACUUGACUGAAAAUAUGAGUGUAACGAUUGAGAUCAAUCGUUCAAGAAUUGUUUCACACCAUAAAUUUACACAAGGAAAUUACAUUCUGGAAUCAAAUGUUGAUGAUGUUCUGUUUAAAAGUAUUUUACUUGCCAUUGUCUAACCGAGACCCCAAACAGUUGUUAUCUAGUUAUUGUCGUAUCUUAUACUAAACUACGUUGAACUUUAACUUACUGAUGUACAAGAUGCGGAACGCGGGAUAUAUUUGCUGUUGACAAGGUAUUCGGUCCCAGGGGUGAAUUGGAGGGCAGGGGCUUUCUAUUUUUGAUGAUUGCAUAAUCUGUUAAAUCAUGUUUGAAAGUUUUUUGAAAUUAUGGUGGCACCUUGUGAAAACCCGCACCCUAUUAAAGUGUAUCAAUCAUCCUACGUCCUCGCGAUGAAUUCAGUGAUUUCUGUUUGGUUGACGUAUAAUCCACUAACGCCAUACGCAAAUGCAAGUACGCUUAGCGUACCUAUUUUUAUUCCAAAGGCUAACCACAUGUACGCAGUGCGUACCUAUUUUUCCAGGUAGAUAUGUACUGUUUAAUACACGAGCAGGAGUGUUUUAUUAGGUUUCAAGCCCUGCGAAUUUAUUAAACGGAAUUCAAACACGACCACAAAUUCAACAGAUAUACUGUACUGCCUUAUUAGUGUUCUUUAUAUAAAGAAUACUAAUGAGGACACAACUAGAAUAGAUACUGCCUUAUUAGUAUUCUUUAUAUAAAAGAAGACUUAGUAUAGAUUAAAAAAAAAAUUGUUAUUUUUCUAGGUACAGCAAUUUGUGCUGAGCGAAGAUCACUUUGCCUUUCAACUUGCAGAAAUCGUGUUCCUAUACAUGUAUGUGACAUCAUUUGCAACAAUGUACGUACAUGAUUAUUGCACAUUAUAAGUCAUGUUUACGUUGGAAAUGAAAUAUGACAGUUUGUAACCAUAUAAUAUUUCCAAAUAAGGUCAAUGCCUUGUUUAAUUUAAUUAACAAAAUAGAUGAUUAUUUUCUACAUUCCUGAUUCCAUACGGCGCAUUGUGUGAAAUGUAUCGAAAUGCAGCUCAAAAGCGAGCAAGAUAUGUCUGAUCAGGACCGCCGAGAAGGGGGGAGGCAGGGGGGGAGGCAAAUUACCCCGUGCUCCCAGGUUCUGGGGGCCCCUAGAAAAUUUUUGUUGGGACCCAGUCAUUUUUUUGGGUGAAACAUUUCCGCGCAAAGGGCAAGAUUUUUGUUUUUUUUGGCAAAGUACCGAAAUUUCGUAUGAAAAAUAUUGGUCAAGUCACUGGAAAGCAAUUACAACGCAUUAGGGCCCCCUAAAAAUAGGGGCCCCUAAAAAAAAUUUGCUCCGGGCCACCGCCAAGCUCUCGGCGGCCCUGUGUCUGAUGCAAAUAUCUGAACAUUUUUUCUGAAUAUAGGUUAUGAAAUCUUUACGUAGAAACGUCUGUGAUAGUAGAUGCACAAUACUCCCUGUUGGACACCAACGAAGUACAUGCUAUAGAACGUGCUAUAUUGUAAGUAUAGAGACUUAUUAAUCAGAGCGCUGGCUGGCGCAGGAGCUUCGAAUCAAAAUGCGAAACUGUAAUAAAAGUGUGCAUGGGAAUUAGAAACAUAUGCCAGAAAGGGUUGCAUCGGAUAUAUCGAUGUGAAACAUUUCCAGACGUAUACCGGAUACUUUUAUAUAAAGUUUGAUAUUUAGUUUAUAGAUGCUGUAAAUUCUGUAAUGUAAACAAACACUUUAUUUACAUUUUGAACUAAGUUCUACAGUUCUAAAAUAUGAUUAAAUAAUUAUAUCUUAUAUCGAAUUUUUAACAUUAAUUCUUCUGGUUUGCUAUGCUUGUAAAUGAAUACAGACUGGAGAUACGUUUCAAAAAGAUUCGGAAGGUGCGAAAUAUUAGUAACAUUCCAAUGGUCGGGUUCCGACCAUUGGGAAGUAGGUCUGCGCAGAAUGGACUUUACAGCAUCUUUAAGGUAAAAUAAUGAUUUUCAAUGGUUAGAGAAUUAAAGAGGGUGUUUAUGAUUUUUUGACUUGAAGAAAUAGGAAACGACUUCACAGUUAAAUAUAGAAAAAUUUGCAUAAUUGCCUUUGCCAAUGCCCACAUAUUUCAAAGGUAAAAUCCGCUUUUUGGCAUUCUUACUUGGCAAGUUAGAGAUCAAAUUGAUACAGGGCGCAGUAAGGGUAAGCUUGAGAGGGGUGCCAUGUUUCAUUUUUUCAAGCUGUGUCUAUAAUAUAUUGAGUGUAGUGCAAGUGUUUCAUACCAAACCCACAGUUUCAAAAUUUCUACGAAUCAACACUUGUUUAUUUUUAAAGUGAAACCACACUUUAUAGAAGUAAACUAAAGUAUCACUCCUCACAUACACAUGUUGGCGUCUUUGUCCCCCUGCUUCCUCCUACAAUGUUGAUGUUGACAUUCAUUCCACAACGUUUUCACCUAGCAUUUUUAAUAAGCUUUCAACAUUGAGCGGGAGGGAGAGGAGGGAGAGGAGGGAGAGGAUGGAGUAGAGGGAGAGGAGGGAAAAGAGGGAGAGGAGGAAGAGGAGGAAGAGGAGGAAGAGGAGGGAGGGAGGGAUUUGGAAGUUAAAAAUUGCUGUUUUUACACGUUUGUAUUGUGCAAGGAUGGUAUUUCUAUUUCCAUGCGGCUGUUCACAAUAACUUUUGCCAGGAUCGUAGAUAGAAGGACUAAAAAUAGCUUUUUUCCUUUUUCCCUAGUGCUUCCCUAUUUGAUUGUUACCAGAAGAUGCGCAGUUUUGAAUAAAUUUAUGUCUCAAAUAAUAUUUCAUUAUGACUAUACGUAGA